Molecule: ribosomal RNA, 322 nt
Filed under: uncultured Chloroflexota bacterium
Lineage: Bacteria; Bacillati; Chloroflexota
Description: bacterial SSU rRNA
Rfam family: Bacterial small subunit ribosomal RNA
Source: RNAcentral
GAUAAACGCUGGCGGCGUGCUUCAGGCAUGCAAGUCGAACGGACUUACGGCUUCGGCCGUGAGUUAGUGGCGGACGGGUGAGUAACACGUAAGUAACCUGCCCAGAAGUGGGGAAUAACCCACCGAAAGGUGAGCUAAUACCGCAUAUGAUGGCAUUUCUCUGGAGAAGUCAUCAAAGGCUUAGGUCGCUUCUGGAGGGGCUUGCGGUCGAUUAGCUAGUUGGUGGGGUAAUGGCCUACCAAGGCGACGAUCGAUAGCUGGUCUGAGAGGACGGUCAGCCACACGGGGACUGAGAUACGGCCCCGACACCUACGGGUGGCUG